This 240-nucleotide ribosomal RNA is filed under the name uncultured bacterium. RNAcentral's name for it is "partial 16S ribosomal RNA". It matches the Rfam family "Bacterial small subunit ribosomal RNA", at positions 15 to 244 of the family's 1533-position model. The record is from RNAcentral.
GAUCCUGGCCCAGGAUGAACGCUAGCUACAGGCUUAACACAUGCAAGUCGAGGGGAAACGACAUCGAAAGCUUGCUUUUGAUGGGCGUCGACCGGCGCACGGGUGAGUAACGCGUAUCCAACCUGCCCACCACUUGGGGAUAACCUUGCGAAAGUAAGACUAAUACCCGAUGAUAUCUCUAGAAGACAUCUGAAAGAAAUUAAAGAUUCAUCGGUGAUGGAUGGGGAUGCGUCUGAUUAG